GGGUCGAAACUGACAAUUUGCCAACUGAAGCUUACAUGAUCUUAUCAAUAAACCCAGGAGUUCAGAUAAUGGCUUGUUCUGAUUGUAUAUUAGACCUUAAUACUUUUAAUGCUAUAAAUUGUUAUAUUUCUCCCUGAAAUUCAGUUGAGUUUGACAAUGAACAAUUCAUGUAAUUUUUUCACAUUAAAAUCUGUAAAUGGCAAGGGUAAAUUUAAUUUGGUGAGGUAGACAAAUUUCUAAGAAUAAACUAGAGGCUCUAAAGAGCCUGUGUCGCUCACCUUGGUCUAUGUGAAUACUAAACAAAGGACACAGAUGGAUUCAAGACAAAAUUGUGGUUUGGUGAUGGUGAUGUGUUUGUAGAUAUUACUUUACUGAACAUUCUUGCUGCUUACAAUUAUCUUUAUCUAUAAUGAACUUGACCCAGUAGUUACAGU
This 434-nucleotide long non-coding RNA is filed under the name Mytilus galloprovincialis (Mediterranean mussel). Lineage: Eukaryota; Metazoa; Mollusca; Bivalvia; Mytilida; Mytilidae. The record is from RNAcentral.